UACGAAGGGGGCUAGCGUUGUUCGGAUUUACUGGGCGUAAAGCGCACGUAGGCGGAUUGUUAAGUCGGGGGUGAAAUCCUGAGGCUCAACCUCAGAACUGCCUUCGAUACUGGCGAUCUUGAGUUCGGAAGAGGUUGGUGGAACAGCUAGUGUAGAGGUGAAAUUCGUAGAUAUUAGCUAGAACACCAGUGGCGAAGGCGGCCAACUGGUCCGACACUGACGCUGAGGUGCGAAAAGCGUGGGGGAGCAAACAGG
This 255-nucleotide ribosomal RNA is filed under the name uncultured bacterium. Its description in RNAcentral is "partial 16S ribosomal RNA". It matches the Rfam family "Bacterial small subunit ribosomal RNA", at positions 524 to 776 of the family's 1533-position model. The record is from RNAcentral.